GCCCCCAUGGCGGAAUUGGAAGACGCGCUAGCUUCAGGAGCUAGUGGCCGCAAGGCCUUAGAGGUUCGAGUCCUCUUGGGGGCACAA
This 87-nucleotide transfer RNA is filed under the name Candidatus Terrybacteria bacterium RIFCSPHIGHO2_01_FULL_43_35. RNAcentral's name for it is "tRNA-Leu". It matches the Rfam family "tRNA". Rfam says of the family: Transfer RNA (tRNA) molecules are approximately 80 nucleotides in length. Lineage: Bacteria; Candidatus Terryibacteriota. The record is from RNAcentral. RNAcentral also lists the same sequence under 1 other name.